AAGCAGCCACCAUUUAAAAAAUGCGUAAUAGCUUACUCAUCGAGUGAUCCUGCGCCGAAAAUGAUUGGCGAUCAAGCGUUAUACCGAAGCUCUGGACUUUGCCGCAAGGCAGAGUGGUAGAAGAGCGUUGCAUGCGCGUCGAAGGGCGAUGGCGACUGACCCUGGAGCACAUGCAAGUGAGUAUGCAGACAUGAGUAACGUUAAGCCGGGUGAAAUCCCCGGCCGCCGUAAACCCGAGGUUUCCAGGGCAACGUGUUUCGUCCCUGGGUUAGCCGGGACCUAAGCCGAGGCCGAGAGGCGUAGGCGAUGGACAUCAGGUUAAUAAUCCUGAGCUCGCAACCCUUAAACUGGGGGGACGCAUGAGAAAAGAUGACUAGGUUAUUGAAUUCCGAGUUGAGUCCACGGACUCAGCGCAUCAUUGGAUCGAGUGCCAAGAAAAGCCCCAGCGUAUGCUAAGCGACCCGUACCGCAAACCGACACAGGUGGGUGGGUAGAAUAUACCAAGGCGUAAGAGUGAAACCUGGUUAAGGAACUCGGCAAAUUAGCCCCGUAACUUCGGAAGAAGGGGUGCCUGCAGCGAUGCAGGCCGCAGAGAAAUGGCCCAACCGACUGUUUAUCAAAAACACAGCACUCUGCAAAGACGCAAGUCGAAGUAUAGGGUGUGACACGUGACCAAUGCCGAAAGAUUAAGGCAAGGGGUUAGCCGCAAGGCGAAGCUCUAAACCCAAGUCCCGGUGAAUGUCGGCCGUAACUAUAACGGUCCUAAGGUAGCGAAAUUCCUUGUCGGGUAAGUUCCGACCUGCACGAAUCGUGAAACGAGUUGGGCACUGUCUCAACCAGGCGCUCAGUGAAAUUGUAGUGGCGGUGAAGAUGCCGCCUACCCGCAGAAGGACGGAAAGACCCUAUAGACCUUAACUGUAAGCUGUCAUUGUUUCUUCGGUUUUAAUGCUCAGAGUAAGUGGGAGACGCUGAAGACGCCCUUUAGGGGGCGUCCGAGUCAUCAAUGAGACACCACCCUUUGAAACUGGAGGAUCUAACCCUGAGCCGUGAAUCCGGCCAGAGGACCGUGUCAGCCGGUCAGUUUUACUGGGGCGGUAUCCUCCCAAAGAGUAACGGAGGAGCGCGAAGGUGGGCUCAGCCCGGUUGGCAACCGGGUGUCGAGUGCAUGGGCAUAAGCCCGCCUAACUGUGAGACCAACAAGUCGAGCAGAUGCGAAAGCAGGCCCAAGUGAUCCGGCGGUAGAAAGUGGAAUUGCCGUCGCUCAACGGAUAAAAGGUACCUUAGGGAUAACAGGCUGAUCACGCCCAAGAGUUCAUAUCGACGGCGUGGUUUGGCACCUCGAUGUCGGCUCGUCGCAUCC
RNAcentral lists this ribosomal RNA (1360 nucleotides) under human gut metagenome. Its description in RNAcentral is "bacterial LSU rRNA". It matches the Rfam family "Bacterial large subunit ribosomal RNA", at positions 1110 to 2547 of the family's 2925-position model. The record is from RNAcentral.